RNAcentral lists this small RNA (539 nucleotides) under Pongo abelii (Sumatran orangutan). RNAcentral describes it as "retained intron". Lineage: Eukaryota; Metazoa; Chordata; Mammalia; Primates; Hominidae. The record is from RNAcentral.
GCAAGCUCAAAUUCCUGGGUUCAAGUGAUCCUCCCUCCUCAGCCUCCCCAGUAGCUGGGACUAUAGGGAUGUAACACUACACCCAGCUAAUUUUUUAAAAUUUUGUAGUAGAGAUGAGGGUUCAUUACGUUGCCGAGGCUGGUUUCAAAUGCCUGGGCUCAAGCGAUCCUCUUGCCUUUACCUCCCAGACUGCUUGGAAUUACAGAUGUGAGCCAGCAUGCCUGAUCCCAGGCCUUUUUAAAGUCCUAUUUUCUCUGCUUUUCAGCCUGUGGAGGCUCCAGUCAUGCUGUGGGAUGAGUCCAGCUUCCCUGACAUCCCAGGGGCUGUAAGUGCCAACAUGACUGUGAAGGGCCAGAGUGAAGACCCUGGCUCCCUCCUUUCCUUGUUCCGGCGGCUGAGUGACCAGCGGAGUAAGGAGCGCUCCCUACUGCAUGGGGACUUCCAUGCGUUCUCUGCUGGGCCUGGACUCUUCUCCUAUAUCCGCCACUGGGACCAGAAUGAGCGUUUUCUGGUAGUGCUUAACUUUGGGGAUGUGGGCC